GUGGGGAAUAUUGCGCAAUGGGCGAAAGCCUGACGCAGCGACGCCGCGUGAGGGAUGAAGGUUUUCGGAUCGUAAACCUCUGUCAGAAGGGAAGAAACUACAUUGUGCUAAUCAGCAGUGUACUGACGGUACCUUCAAAGGAAGCACCGGCUAACUCCGUGCCAGCAGCCGCGGUAAUACGGGGGGUGCAAGCGUUAAUCGGAAUUACUGGGCGUAAAGCGAACGUAGGCUGUAGUGUAAGUCAGGGGUGAAAUCCCACGGCUCAACCGUGGAACUGCCUUUGAUACUGCACAACUUGAAUCCGGGAGAGGGUGGCGGAAUUCCAGGUGUAGGAGUGAAAUCCGUAGAUAUCUGGAGGAACAUCAGUGGCGAAGGCGGCCACCUGGACCGGUAUUGACGCUGAGGUGCGAAAGCGUGGGGAGCAAACAGGAUUAGAAACCCGGGUAGUCC
This 450-nucleotide ribosomal RNA is filed under the name uncultured bacterium. RNAcentral describes it as "partial 16S ribosomal RNA". It matches the Rfam family "Bacterial small subunit ribosomal RNA", at positions 354 to 796 of the family's 1533-position model. The record is from RNAcentral.